RNAcentral lists this transfer RNA (95 nucleotides) under Trichoderma viride. RNAcentral's name for it is "tRNA-Phe". It matches the Rfam family "tRNA". Rfam says of the family: Transfer RNA (tRNA) molecules are approximately 80 nucleotides in length. Their secondary structure includes four short double-helical elements and three loops (D, anti-codon, and T loops). Further hydrogen bonds mediate the characteristic L-shaped molecular structure. tRNAs have two regions of fundamental functional importance: the anti-codon, which is responsible for specific mRNA codon recognition, and the 3' end, to which the tRNAs corresponding amino acid is attached (by aminoacyl-tRNA synthetases). tRNAs cope with the degeneracy of the genetic code in two manners: having more than one tRNA (with a specific anti-codon) for a particular amino acid; and 'wobble' base-pairing, i.e. permitting non-standard base-pairing at the 3rd anti-codon position. RNAcentral also lists the same sequence under 1 other name. Lineage: Eukaryota; Fungi; Ascomycota; Sordariomycetes; Hypocreales; Hypocreaceae. The record is from RNAcentral.
GCGGCCUUAGCUCAGCUGGGAGAGCGUCAGACUGAAGUCUCAACUUCAAGUCUCUUGAUAUCUGAAGGUCGUGUGUUCGAUCCACACAGGCCGCA